This is a non-coding RNA of Podarcis lilfordi (Lilford's wall lizard), 714 nucleotides long. Lineage: Eukaryota; Metazoa; Chordata; Lepidosauria; Squamata; Lacertidae. The record is from the annotation of a GenBank genome assembly.
UCCUUUCAUGUUCAGUGGAGGAAUAUAGGAAGCUGCCUUUUACUGAGUCAGACCCAUUGGCCCAUGGAGCUCUGUAUUGUCUAUGCUAACUGGCAGCUGCUCUCCAGGGUUUCCUCCCAGUACAACCAGGAGACACCAGGGGUUGAACCCGGGACCUUCUGCAUGCAAAGCAGUUGCUCUGUCACUGAGCUACAGCCCUUUUCAUCCAUGGCUGGUGUGAGGCCGCUAGAGUCUCUUGAUGCACCAGGACCAGGUCUUCUCAGAAUUGGGUUGUUUGGCAAUGCAGCCCAAAGACGGUGCAAAGGCUAAAUACUGGCACUAGACCUAAAAUCAACAAGUACCUGGGGGGAAGCUGAAAAGAACCUUGACGAGAGAGUGCAAGCAAAGCCUUUUAGUACCCAAAUAUGUUGGCCCUGGAUAAUAUCUUCUGAAAAAAGUAUGUGAGCUGCAAGCCAGGAAAUCCCUAGUUCAAGUCUCAACUUAAACUCACCAUGAUGCUAGUAGCCUCAUGUUUAUAAUGCGUGCACAUAUAAAGGAGCAGGAUUCAAUCAACAAGCUCUGCCCCUACCAUAUGUACAUACAUUUGCCCACAUGUGUAUAAAUUUAUAAACUGUACAUGUAGAGAUUUGUAUAAGUGGCAGGGGAUAAACACAGUCUCAACUUCUGUGUAUGCGUCUGCAUCCAUAGGUACUUCAAAAAUGUACAAAAAUAUGU